AUGAUUACAGGUUGUAUUUAGACAGCUUAGGAGACUGAAAUUGAAUAGAAACAAACCAACCAUCUCACCCCCACCCCCACCAAAAAUAACCACUUCCCAACUAGUAUCAAAUGCAUAGUGGAAUCUGGACAUUAUUUGCAGUGUUGCAGUCUGCAAAGAAUGUUUUUCCCCUUAAAAAAUUCAGUAUACACUGCACUAUGCCUAGACUUUUGUCAUUAAAUGCACCUCCAAAUUAGUUCAUAUAUGGUCGCGAAACUUUACUCACUAUAGCAAUAAUCACAAAACUAUUUUUUAUCACAUUAGAAAAGUAACUAUAUUUGAAUUAUUCGAGAAAAUACAAAUGACCGCAAAAAAAGGAACUUACGCAAAGAAAGGAACUAUAUUUUUUCUUCCUCGAAUUCCGUACAUAGCGGAAGUUUAGUGAAACGGACCGCUUUUUUUACAAAUAAAUUUAAAAAAUACCACCAGGAUUGCACCAUGACUAGGCUUUAAUCAUUAACUUCACCUUAAAAUCACAAAGUCAGAUGAUUUAAGCAAACAAGCUCUAAAUUCAUACGCUAAUUAAACAAAGAAAAUAAGUCAUUUCUUUUUAAUACAAUCAAAAUGGAAAAAAAGGGGGGGGAUGAAACAAAAUUUACUCUUAUAAUUGGUUCACCUGUUGGAUUGGCAGCUUCAAAUUAAAGGGAGUACUUAUGAAGAGCUUGAAGGACAGUGUUGUACAUGAUGUUGAUCAAGUUGUACUUCUCUGUUCUUAGGGAAAAUGAGUGUAAUAAAUGGUCCAUUUUCCUCAUCUUUGGACAACUUUGAACUUGAAGAAACUUCAAUACUUUCAACUUGAUAUGACACAUUUUCCUCCACAAUUCUUCUACAAAAUUUAUCUUCAGCAUCUCUCAAGAAUUUAAAUGUUGGAGGAGGUGAAUUGGACCUUAUAAACUUAUUAAACUCAGCAUCACUUAUUGAUUCAAGAAAAGGAUUGAAUCCAUUUUUGUGCAUCAUAGGACUUAAAGGAGGAGUAAAAUAAAGUGGUGAAGUAAGUGGAGUUAAAUAAGGAGUUUCCAUAUUUAGACAUAAAUCACUUAAACUCCUAGUUCUUGAUCCUUUUCUACUCUUUUCACCUUUGGAUUUUCCAUCUUCAGAUUCCAAAUCUUCUUUAGUUUCCUCUUUGAUAGUAAAUAAAAAUCUUGGUGGCCCACAAAGUCCUAUAAAUUCAUUUUCCAUGUUAUCAUCUCCAAAGGGUUUGAACCAAAAAUCGGUAGCCUCCUCGACUGGUUGACCUCUCCACUGAGUACUAUUUGACUCUACAUUGGAUUGAACUUGGAUUGUUGGUUCAUGGACUUGUGUAUCAUUGGCACAAAUUUCUUGAGAUUUUAAGGCAAUAUUGGAAUUUAAAGAAGUUGAGGGCUUAAUACAAAACAUACAAAAGAACUCUUUGGCUUUAUUGCUACUAUAACCAUCUUCAAGACUUGUUUUAACAAUCCUAUUUUUCCACCAUAAUAAGUAGUAAAGCUCAGCAAUAAGAGCUAAUAAAAGACAACCAAAUACCACACUUAAAACAAGUCCUACACUGCUCAAAGAUUUCAUCUUUACAUUUAUAUAACCAAUAAAAACAAAAAAUUCCAACCUUUCACCUUAGAAUUGCCUCAGAUUCUUGAAACUGAGAGAAGAUCUUUGGUUUCAAAUUUUCAAGAAGAGAAGAACUCUGAUAUUUUCAGCAAGUUUUCUUUAAACUUUGUCUGAAGUUGAAGAUGUAGUAAAAGCAUAGAACAAAUUUCAAACCAACCAUAAAAAGAAAAGGACUAAAGCAAGAAAAG
Molecule: long non-coding RNA, 1811 nt
Filed under: Nicotiana tabacum (common tobacco)
Lineage: Eukaryota; Viridiplantae; Streptophyta; Magnoliopsida; Solanales; Solanaceae
Description: long non-coding RNA (NTAB_LNC016884)
Source: RNAcentral